AAGGGGGAGGGGAGAGGGGAGGGAGGAGGGGGUAGAAGGAGGGAGGGUAGGGGGAGAGUUGGGAUUCUCUCACUCACUCUCUCGUUCUCUUUUCUUAAAGGGGCCGCGCGGGACGACGGGGUGAGCGCGCGGGCCCAGACGGGGACUUCGAGGGCGCGGGCAGGGGAAGAGGGAGCGGCAGCGGCAAGCGGGUGGGGAAGGCGGAGGGGCCGGUUUAUUUUUAAAUUCUGCCUCCACUCGCUCUCUCGCGCUCUGGUUCCUCCGAGUUGUUUAUUCCAUUUUCCUCUUCCUGAGACGGCCGUCGCCGCUGCGCGUGCGCGCUGAGACGCGAGGGCUUAUGGGUAGCGGGAGCGCUAGGGGAAGCCUGGCCGGCGUCGGGCCCCCGGGGGCAUCCGCGAGCUAUCGGCGGUUGGACCGGCGGCUCUCGGUGGGGUUCCGGACGCGGAUCUGGCGCCGAAUUCUCACGAGACCUGAUACCUUCCUUAUUUGUAUAUUCUCUUACUUAAAAAGCCAGAUGUCUUUUUUUUUUUUUUCAUUGAAAAGAGAAAAUUGACAAGGUAAACGGUCGUUUGGAGGGGCCACCUGGGGACGCGGCCCGAGCCCUGGCUCUACCUGAAGAAUAUCUUCUAUUUGCCACACUUCCUCUCCCCGUUUCCUUUCUUCGCCCCUCUCCUCUUUCCCCUUCCCCUCGAAGGUAAUGAGAACUACUGGACCGAUUACGCUAACCUCUUGGCCCUUUGUCAAAAAAUGGAGCCAAAAAGGUUGAUUUAGACAGACCCCCUGCUCAGUGCAGCACCUGUUAUUCUCUGUAUUUAUAUUACCAAGGGCCUUCGGUAAAUUAUGAAAAAUAGGAUGCCACCUGGGACAACACUGCUUAGACAGCACUGGAAGACCUUUAUAAAUAUACUAGGUUGCUUUUCUCCAAUCAGCCUAGCCUUGAUUUGAAAUUCAUUUUUAUUUUUUUUGAGACGGUGAAAUUCAUUUUUAAAAGAUAGUUUUAACCUCAGCGAUCUCUGAUGUUUGCGCUAAUACCCUUUUAAAGGCUUUCAGAAAUUUUAAAGAAUUGCUAUGAAAGGAAAAGUAACAUUCUAGUUUUUCUCUGUAAAAGAGGUUCACAAACGGCAGAUCGCUGUUAUGAAAAGGAGGGGUGGAAGUAUUUAAGGAAUUGUGGCAAACAAAGUCACAGAAGAAUGGAUAUAAGCAAAAGUAGCACACUGAAAAAAAUGGGGAAAAGUGGAGUCUAGAUCACAAACUGGUAAGCUUGGUGAUGUUCUCUAGCCAAAUUCGAAGGUAAUAACAUUGUAUUAUGGCUUUCUGUUUAAAAGCAGUUUCGCUUAUUUGAUUAUUCAACAAAUCUUUAUUAACACGCAUUACGUGUACCAGAAACUGUGGUACACUUAACUGUGGAGCUGGGGAAGCAAAAGUGAACAUGCCGCCUUAAGUGAGUUCAGAUGGCUUAUCUUCCGGUUGGGGAGGCAUCAAGUACACAGGUCCGUUGUAAACCAGUGUCUUAAGUGCUAACCUUAUCACAUUUGCUAUUAGAGGAUAUUAAACAUGUCAGACUUCUUGGAGAAAGUUGAUAUUUUCAUGUUCCAAGUUUGGGAACAUCAUUGAAUUCAGACAGAUCUGGAUUGAAACAGAUUAAAGUGCCUACACUUUAAUAGCUGUGUUCCUCUCAGUUAAUUGCUUCAUUUCUCUGUGCCUUGUCUGUACACCUGGAUUAAGAAUAGUACCUACUUCAUAAAGUAUAACUAAUAAUGUAUAUAAACUGUCCCAUGCCUAAUAAGAAUUCGGUAGGUUGUAACUAUUAUUAAUAGUAUUGGCCAGGCGCAGUGGCUCACGCCUGUAAUCCCAGCACUUUGGGAGGCCAAGGCGGGUGGAUCACCUGAGAUCAGGAGUUCGAGACCAGUCUGGCCAACCUGGUAAAACACCGUCUCUACAAAAAUACAAAAAAAUUACUGGGCGUGGUGGCGAGCGCCUGUGAUCCCAGCUACUGGGGAGGCUGAGACAUAAGAAUCACUUGAACCUGGGAAGCAGAGGUUGCAGUGAGCCGAGAUCUCGUCAUUGCACGCCAGCCUGGGCGACAGAGCGAGACUCCAUCUCGAAAAAAAAGUAGUAUUGCUGCUAGUGGUAGUCAGUGUAUAGUCAAAGAGCAUUCUAGGCAAACAGCUUUUAUUGUUAGAAUACAGUGAUAGUGGAAAAUGGAGCAGAGUCCACAAAA
This 2221-nucleotide long non-coding RNA is filed under the name Homo sapiens (human). RNAcentral's name for it is "non-protein coding PAN3-AS1:3". The record is from RNAcentral. Lineage: Eukaryota; Metazoa; Chordata; Mammalia; Primates; Hominidae.